This 758-nucleotide ribosomal RNA is filed under the name uncultured bacterium. Its description in RNAcentral is "bacterial SSU rRNA". It matches the Rfam family "Bacterial small subunit ribosomal RNA", at positions 20 to 791 of the family's 1533-position model. The record is from RNAcentral.
UGGCUCAGAUUGAACGCUGGCGGCAGGCUUAACACAUGCAAGUCGAACGGUAACAGGAAGAAAGCUUGCUUUCUUUGCUGACGAGUGGCGGACGGGUGAGUAAUGCUUGGGAAUCUGGCUUAUGGAGGGGGAUAACUACGGGAAACUGUAGCUAAUACCGCGUAAUAUCGAGAGAUUAAAGGGUGGGACCGCAAGGCCACCUGCCAUGAGAUGAGCCCAAGUGGGAUUAGGUAGUUGGUGAGGUAAAGGCUCACCAAGCCGACGAUCUCUAGCUGGUCUGAGAGGAUGACCAGCCACACUGGAACUGAGACACGGUCCAGACUCCUACGGGGAGGCAGCAGUGGGGGAAUAUGCACAAUGGGGGGAACCCUGAUGCAGCCAUGCCGCGUGAAUGAAGAAGGCCUUCGGGUUGUAAAGUUCUUUCGGUAGCCGAGGAAGGCAUUUAGUUUAAUAGACUAAAUGGAUUGACGUUAACUACAGAAAGAAGCACCGGCUUACUUCGGGGCCAGCAGCCGCGGUAAAUACGGGGGGUGCGACGGUUAAUCGGAAAUACUGGGCUGUAAGGGCACGCAAGCGGUGACUUAAGUGAGGGGGGAAACCCCGGGCCUAACUCUGGAAUUCAAUUCAUCUGGGCCUUGAAAUCUUUUAGGGGGGGUGAAUUCCACUGUGCGGUAAAUGCUAAAUUUGGAAGAAAACCAAAGCGAGGGCUCCUUGGAAGUCUGGCCCCUGGCAAACUGGGAGCAACAGAUAGACCCUGU